This 4467-nucleotide long non-coding RNA is filed under the name Sus scrofa (pig). RNAcentral describes it as "lncRNA (ENSSSCG00005020627.1)". Lineage: Eukaryota; Metazoa; Chordata; Mammalia; Artiodactyla; Suidae. The record is from RNAcentral.
CUCUUGUCUAAGGGUGGCAAUGCUUGCUACAGGUCCAGGUGGCACAUGCAUAGGCCACACUGACUUGGGAUGGUUAGCAGUGUUCUGGGCCAGCUGCCAAGUCUGCCCUGGGGUUGUUCCCGAUUGGGCAAUUUAGGUCACAGGCCCAUCUCUGGAGCAAAGAGAUUGUGGCCUGGAUGGGGAGGAGGAAUCGGGGUUGGCCCCAGGCUCAGGAGUUGAGAGGAAGAGUGGAGAGUGGAAUGAACCCGGGCUGUCCCUAAAAAGAAAGGGAGGGACGGAUGUGGACAGGGGCCUCCAGCAAGCACAGUGGAGGGGACAGGAGAGAUUGACAAGCAAAGCCCUCGGGCGGCUCCUGCUGCUUGAGGAUGAGGAUGCAGAGUUCUCCCUGCUCGGCUUCAGGUGGACUUGCUGCCCUGGGAGGGGGCCUGGUGCUUCCAGAAGCAGGUCUGAGUCAGAGACAAUGGGGAAGGCCUGGGGCAGGNNNNNNNNNNNNNNNNNNNNNNNNNNNNNNNNNNNNNNNNUUCCCUUCCAUCCAAGACAAUGGGCUGCCAGCUAGGGUGGGAGACGAUGAAAGGCCGGGUGGGGUUGGUGGAAUCAUAGCCUCCAGGGCCUCUGGUCCCCCUCACCCUGUGCCUUCGUGGAAGGGAGGCCUGAGAGCUGUCCCCGGUCACCGGGGCCCCUGCCCUGACGCCAGGGGUCAGCCUCUCAAGGUUAGGGUCUGUCUCCUUCCCUCCCUCCCUUCAGCUUCGCACGUAAAGGGCACCCAGGUGCAGGCCCUGCCUGUGUCCUCCGAGGCGCUGUCGGCCUGCGGGCUUGUGGCGGGGCCUCCGGGUGAAGCUCGAGGAGUGGAGCUGGGCCGGAUCGAUCGCUUCGUUUGGAUGGAAAAGAACCUAAAAUUUCUCAAUAAGGUUUCUAUUGAUUAGACGGUGGAAUGACCAUAUUUGGGGCAUGCUCAUGGGUUAAAUUCACUUGUUUGUUUUUCCUUUUUUGGGGGGCCGCAUUCGAGAGACAUGGAAGGUCCCUGGGCCAGGGAUUGAAUCAGAGCCGCAUGGGCGACCUACGCCACAGCUGAGGUAACACGGGACCCUUAACCCACUGCAGCACAGCGGGAACUCCCUGCUGCACGUCUCUGAGCCACACUGUCUUCCUUGAGGAGGCGCUGCUGAGGGUGACGGAGACCCCCCUACUGGAGGUGCCACUGAGGUGUGGCAGGGAGGGGGCAUCCAUCCAUCUGUCCCCAGGCCUCGGACCCUGGUGCCUGAGAGACACGGAUGCUGCAAGACUCCAUCUCCAGCACCACCACUGCUGCGCUCAGACCCUGGGGCUCUGUCAGGAGUCUGCCCUGCACGGCUUUUAUCAAAACAUCCAAAACUAGGCCAGAGACAAGGCCAGGGAACCUGCAGCCCUCGGGCCACUCCAGGCCGCCUACCAGGUUCCGGCAGAGCUGCCGGGCGGGAAGUGGACCCCGCGGGCACUUUCGAGCCUCUGCACCCCAGCGUCCCUUCUGCUGCCGGUAUGGUGGGGUCUGAGGACAGUGGGAGGCAGAAGGGGCUGGGGCUGGGGGUGGCCUUGAUCUGGGCUGGCCCUGCUCAGGCUGGCCCUCCCAGCCCCCCGCCGGUAUCAGAGUUCUUCCCCCGGAAACAGAAACUGCUUUCUGAGCACAUCCUCUGGGCCUGGCUCUGGCCUCCUGACCCUCAGGAUGGGGGGCUCCCAGGCAGCCCCCCAGCGGGCUGACUCAUCCUCCUACGCGCUGCGCCUCCUUCUCCAUCUCAGCCCCGGGCUUGCCCCUCCUACCCGCCUUCCCCCAGGCGGCAGUGUCCCCAGGAGCGCAUCACACUCCCCUUUGAACCUUCCCCGGCUUCCCUGAGCACAUCCUGCAGCACCAGCCUCCCCCAGGGCUUGUCCCUCCCCUGCGCCCCAGAUCAACCCCCGGCUGGUCCCUGAACCCUUCCUCCCCUGCUGGCUCCUGUGGACACACACCUUUUUUCUUCCUUUCUUCUUUUAUUUUUGGCCGCGCUGCGGCAUCCGGAAGUUCCUGGGCCAGGGAUCCAAUCCGCAGCUUAACCCACGGCACGCCACAGCGGCAACUAGACACCUAUAUUUUUCAAAACAUUUCCCCACACCCCUGUGAGGAGGGCAGUGUUGUACCCAUUUCACAGAGGACUGUGGAGGCUGGAGAGAGAUGGGAGUUGGAGGAUGAGCAAAUGCUUGCCCCCUGGUGGCCCCACUGCCCCACUCAGAGACUGUUGUCUCCUCCGUGCACCGACCUGUUUCCCCUCGCCUUUGCUGAAAAUCAAAUGACAGGAAAGGAGUUCCCUGGUGGCCUGGCAGUUAAGGGCUUGGGUUCCUGCUGGGGUGUGGGUUUGAUCCCUGGCCUGGGAAAUUCUGUAGGCCUCUGGUGUGGCCAAAAAAGAAAAGAAAGCCUGGAUAAGUGACUCUGGGCUCAGUAUUCUGUUCCAUUGAUCCGUGUGUUGGUCCUAUUCCAGUGCUGUGGCCUCAGGGACAGUCACAAAGCCGGGCAGCAGUAAGUUCUCUGACUUCGUUCUGUUGUUCCUCCCUCCCCAGCCCCUGGCCACCACCCUCUGCUUUCUGUCUUUCUGAGUGUGACUCCUCCAGGGACCUCAUCAUAUAAGCAGAAUCCUACAGUCUGUGUCCUUUGGUGACGGGCUCAUUUCACUGAGCAUAAUGUCACAAGGUCUAUCCACAGUGUUGCAGGUGUCAGGAUUUCUAUACCCUUUUUUUUUUUGUCGGGUGCACCUGGGGCACAUGGAAAUUCCUGGGCCAGGGGGGGAACCUGAGCCACAGAAGCCACCCAAGCCACUGCAGUGGCAACACCAGAUCCUUAAGCCACUGCAGUGGCUCAGUGGGAACUCUGACUUCAUUCCUUUUUUUUUUGUCUUUUUGUCCUUUUGCCAUUUCUUGGGCCACUCCCGUGGCAUAUAGAGGUUCUCAGGCUAGGGGUCGAAUCAGAGCUGUAGCCGCUGGCCUACACCAGAGCCACAGAAACUCGGGAUCCGAGCUGUGUCUGCACCCUACACCACAGCUCACGGCAACGCCGGAUCCUUAACCCACUGAGCAAGGCCAGGGAUCGAACCUGCAACCUCAUGGUUCCUAGUUGGAUUCAUUAACCACUGAGUCACGAUGGGAACUUCCUUCCUUUUUAAGGCUGAAUAAUAUUCCAUUGUAUGGAUGUACCACAUUGUGACUCUUUACCCAUCUGGCAAUGGACGCUUGGGUUCCCUCCCCCUUUUGGUUUCUGUGAAUAAACGCUACGGGAAUGUGAGGGUGCAAAUAUCUGUUGAGGUCCCUGCUUUCAGUUCUUUGGGGGCAUACACAUGGAAGCUGAACUGCUAGACCAUAUGGUCAUUCUGUGGGGCGUGGUUUUCGUUUAUUUAUUUAUUUUUUAUUUUUUUGCUUUUUAGGGCCACACCUGCGGCAUAUGGAAGUUCCCAGGCUAGGGGUCGAAUUGGAGCUACAGGUGCUGGCCUACACCACAAACACAGUAAUGCAAAUCUGAGCUGCGUCUGCGACCUACACCACAGCUCAGAGCAAUGCUGGAUCCUUAACCUACAGAGUGAGGCCAGGGAUCAAACCUGCGUCCUCAUGGAUGCUAGUCAGAUUCUCUUCUGCUGAGCCACGACGGGAACUCCCGGGGCGUGGAUUUAGAGAGGAGUCUGUUGUCAGCUUGGCUAAGCGAAAUGAGGGAAGGUCUGCUGGGGGACAUGGUGAAAGUUUUCUUCCGUUUGCAGAAAGAGUUCUCCACAGAGCGCUGCUGGAGUCCGGGAGCCUGGAGUCCGUGAACCUGGACGAGAAAACAGUCACAUCCAUAUCGGCACCAACUAAAUUCAGCAUCGCCCUGCCUUGUGAAUGUGAGCAGCAAAACCCAGUGAGGUCUGUGGUUUUGCCACCAAUGUUAUCAACCACAAACCCCACUGGGUUUCCGAGCGUCCUACCUUUAUUGCAGAAAUUUCAGGACGGCAUUUGGACUCAAAUCACGGUAGUUCUUAAAUCCGCUACUAGAUAUUCUUUUAAAUGUGCUAGGAAGAAGUAGGAGUUCCCCGGUGGCCUAGCUGGUUAGGAAUCCUGCAUUAUCACUGCUGUAGCUGGGUUAGAUUCCUGGCCUGGGAGUGUCUGCAGGCUGCUGGCCAAAAAAAAAAAGAAGAAGAAGGAGAAAAGGAAGAGGAAGAGGAAGAAAAGAAGAAGAGGCAUGUAUAUUAAACAAUAGUUUGACAAAUUUCAGUGCAUUUGGCUUCCUUUAUAAUCCUACGUAUUUUGCUAUUUUGCAUUGUGCAUUUAAAAACAUGAUCCUGGAGUUCCCGUCGUGGCGCAGUGGUUGACGGGUCCGACUAGGAACCAUGAGGUUGCGGGUUCGGUCCCUGCCCUUGCUCAGUGGGUUGGCGAUCCGGCGUUCCCGACAGUGACCCAAGCCACCGCAGUGAAAAUGCUGGAUCCUUAACCUGCUGCACC